RNAcentral lists this ribosomal RNA (479 nucleotides) under uncultured bacterium. RNAcentral's name for it is "bacterial SSU rRNA". It matches the Rfam family "Bacterial small subunit ribosomal RNA", at positions 28 to 498 of the family's 1533-position model. The record is from RNAcentral.
GAUGAACGCUAGCGGCAGGCUUAAUACAUGCAAGUCGUGGGGCAGCAGGUUUGUAGCAAUACAGAUGCUGGCGACCGGCAAACGGGUGCGGAACACGUACAGAACCUUCCUUUGAGCGGGGAAUAGCCCAGAGAAAUUUGGAUUAAUACCCCAUAGUAUAAUGAAGUGGCAUCACUUUAUUAUUAAAGAUUUAUCACUCGAAGAUGGCUGUGCGGCUGAUUAGGUAGUUGGCGGGGUAAAGGCCCACCAAGCCUGCGAUCAGUAACUGGUGUGAGAGCACGACCAGUCACACGGGCACUGAGACACGGGCCCGACUCCUACGGGAGGCAGCAGUAAGGAAUAUUGGUCAAUGGAGGCAACUCUGAACCAGCCAUGCCGCGUGGAGGAUGAAGGUCCUCUGGAUUGUAAACUUCUUUUAUAUGGGACGAAAAAAGGCUUUUCUAAGUCGUCUGACGGUACCAUAUGAAUAAGCACCGGCU